This 485-nucleotide ribosomal RNA is filed under the name uncultured bacterium. RNAcentral's name for it is "partial 16S ribosomal RNA". It matches the Rfam family "Bacterial small subunit ribosomal RNA", at positions 899 to 1397 of the family's 1533-position model. The record is from RNAcentral.
ACUCAAAUGAAUUGACGGGGACCCGCACAAGCGGUGGAGCAUGUGGUUUAAUUCGACGGUAAGCGAGGAACCUUACCAAGGCUUGACAUUGCCCUGCAAGCGCACGGAAACGUGUGACCUUCGAGGGUGGGCAACAGGUGCUGCACGGUUGUCGUCAGCUCGUGUCGUGAGAUGUUCCCUUAAGUGGGAGAACGAGCGCAACCCCCGUAGUAUGUUGAUUUUCAUACUAGACUGCCGGCGUUUAAGCUGGAGGAAGGUGGGGAUGACGUCAAAUCAGCGUGGCUCUUACGCCUUGGGCGACACACGUGCUACAAUGGGAAGGUACAAAGGGACGCAAUACCGUAAGGUGGAGCAAAUCCUAUCAAAAACUUCUCUCAGUUCGGAUUGAGGGCUGCAACUCGCCCUCAUGAAGCUGGAAUCGCUAGUAACCGUGAAUCAGCCUCGUCACGGUGAAUACGUUCUCGGGUUUUGUACACACCGCCCGU